UUGGUAGAAGCCAAAAAGAGGCUUAUUAUUGUUAAUAAUAGAAGUGAUUUAUCCUACUAUU
Molecule: transfer RNA, 61 nt
Filed under: Metacrangonyx goulmimensis
Lineage: Eukaryota; Metazoa; Arthropoda; Malacostraca; Amphipoda; Metacrangonyctidae
Description: transfer RNA Asparagine
Source: RNAcentral